UCUCGUCCGUGACUAAGUGCUUCUGUCCGGGACCGAGCCGGCCGAGCUGGAACAGUGACCUUUGGUUCCGCGACGGGACUAAUUGGAGAACGCUCGGACGUUCUUUCGAUGAUAAUUCACGCGCGAAUCGAGGAACGGAUGUAUCCUUAACGUCCCGCGCGGGCUGAGUUAUGCGGAGUUUAAUGGCGAAUAUUGAAUUAACAUUGAUAUCGUCCCACUACAUCAAGUCAAGUGCCAACCGGACUCAUCUCCCGAGUGCAAAGGGCCAACAUUCUACGCGGCCCGCAACAAACGCAACAAAUACUUGACACUCCGCCGACUGGGAGCCUAUUAACAGGUUUUUCGAUGGAGGCGCUGAACGACCAAUAGCUUGUAAAUCGGCUUUUCGAUUUCCAACGCUCGUCCACCGGCGGCCCAUUAAAACGACACUGUUCCGGAUCGGGGGAGAUCGAUGUUAAUUAGAAAAGAGGGAAACGUUCAGAAUCAACGUUGAACGUGCACUCCCAAAAUCCAAUUCGCGAAACUGGAACCCUGUCAACCGUUCAAACGAAUGUUGAUCUAUCC
Molecule: non-coding RNA, 564 nt
Organism: Nomia melanderi (Alkali bee)
Lineage: Eukaryota; Metazoa; Arthropoda; Insecta; Hymenoptera; Halictidae
Source: RefSeq, a predicted model, not a curated record